Long non-coding RNA from Diceros bicornis minor, 4590 nucleotides. RefSeq lists it as uncharacterized. The record is from RefSeq and is a predicted model, not a curated record. The transcript is spliced from 3 exons. NCBI's taxonomy places the organism in Eukaryota, Metazoa, Chordata, Mammalia, Perissodactyla, Rhinocerotidae.
AAAAAUCCUUAUUGUUCUUGCAGUGCGCAUCGGGCGGCAGCCGCCAACCUACCCCUCGCCCACCUGGCCGCUCUGGGACGGGAAGGGCUUCCGGGGUCCGAUUGGGAUGUCCUCCCUCAUCCUCCUGAAAUGAGAGUCAGUGGGGACUUGCUGUUUAUUAAAACAAUUUUGUUGGGCCAACGCAUUGAUUUGCAUGUAUUUUUACAAUUUCUUUUUUGGUGAGGGCUGGGCAUCGAGACAUUCCUGCGCGGAUCAGAGCCCAGGAGAACACAGGGUCUCCGUGGUUUGUGUGUGGUGAAGGUCCGGAAGAGCAGGUGCAGGGCAGCUUCAGGGCCAGUUACGUCAAGAGCGGCAGUGUUUGGCUGGCCAGGAUGCCCUAGCGUUCCUGAGAAGCUGGAAGUGUUUAGGGGCAGCUGGGCAGAAACUUGCACGGUGUUUUAAAACAGAAGGUGCUGCAGUCCACUCUCUGAGACCCAGUGAGCUGGCCAUUUUGCAAAUACACUUGCAGUGGAUUCAAUGUCUUUCCCCCCACCGUGACCCUGGAGCUUGCUGUCUCUACCCCUAUUUCACCUUCUGGGACUCCUCCAUGCUCAGCAGGUGCCCCUACCUUUUCUGGUCCCACCCCACAGAUGUUUUAGCUGAGCCAAGGCCUUAUCUUGGGUGGACUUGGGAUUUCUGGGGGGUUGUCAAGAAGCAGAAGUACCAGUCUGUGACAUGCCCCCUUAACCCAAGAACACCAAUCCACAAGAAUAUCACCAAAUCCCACAGCAACGAAAUCUUCCUCUUAGCUGAGGCUGGGCAGGUGACCUGUCUGGGGAUGGACAGACUGGUAGGGGAACAGGCAGCAAGGAGUCCCAUUGCCCUCCCAGGGCAGCAGGGGGAAUUCAUCCUUGCGGUAUUUCUAAGGUUCCCAGGUGCUGACUCAUAAGCUCUCAUCACUCAAGAAGACGGCCAUGGCGUGUUUGGCAUUUGUAGGACCCUGACCACCACCGUCCUCUUCCCUGGCCAGCCCGGCCCCGUGCUCUGCAGACUCCAGCCGUCCUGCUGUCCCAGCUGUGCCUCCACACCAGCUGUCCCAGAGACAGUUUUUAAGGGGCUGGGUUUGCUCAGAAGCCUCAGCAUUCUGCCUAGGGGAAGGGACAGCUCCAAGGUAAAGUUUAACACGGGGACGGAGCGUGGUGAUGGUGAUGUUUAUCCCUUCUUGGUGAGAGGCGGGUGGGGCUCUCAUGAAAUGAGACUCUUACAACCUACAGUGGACACAGAGCGACACAGCACAUUCCAUCAUCCUUCAUCAGCUAAGCAUUUGCUAACUUCAAGUCAGCAGUCCCCCCUGGAGCCCCUUUGCCCUGCCCUUCGUCCCCACAAUCCUCCUUGUUCCUGAGUGUGUUCCUCAUUCUUUACCCCAAAACAUUUGCAGAAGACACUACAUCCGUUUAAAAAAAAGGCAAUACAUCAAAAAUAAAACUGAUUACUCUUUCUCCCCAAUUAUAAAAGAAUUGCCUCCCACUGUAGAGCAUUUCAGAAAUACAAAAGGAUGGAAAUGCCCGUACCUGGAGAUAAUGUCUGCUAAUGAAAUAGAUCCUUCCAGCAUUUUUUUCCCUAUGGGUGUACACCCACACCCAGUUAGCAGGAUUGGGACUUUUAAAAGGGGCGAGGCUCAAAACCCAUUUGAGCAAUGGCCCUGUGCCCUCUGGAGCCAGCAAGUCUCUAUUUUCUUUUUGCCAAGUAGGAUGUGCUGUGGGCUGCUGCUUCCAUCCAGGAAGCUCAGAGACCUCGGCGGGUGCUGGAGCAGCACUGGGUCUCUCUCUAAACCAAGACUAAUGAAGUUGUCUGGAGGAUGCUAGCAAUGUGGGCUCCAUCCUGGUUGAUUUCUAAGUGGACCGCUGCAUUGCUUCUCGACCCUGGUGGCACGUAAGAAUCACUUGGAGAGCGUUAAAAAAAAAUGUCAGUGCCUGGGCCCAACCCACCUAAGACCAAUUGGAUCUGAAUUGCUGGGGUUGGGGGAGCCCAGGGAUUGGUAUCUUUGUUUUUGUUUUCUUAUGUUGCUCAGAUGAUUCUAUUAGGCAGCCAGAGAACUAUCCAGCUCCAUGCGCGCAAGGUAGAUAAGGAAGAGAUUUCCUCCAGCUAGGCCUGCAGAGCCUGAUCGAGCAGAUGUGACCAUUGGCAGCUGGCAGACUUGCACUUCCAUUAUUUUCUCUUCUGCUCAGAGUCAUCAUUUAAUCCUCAUUUUAUAGACAGAGGACCGAGGCUAAGGAGAGCAGGAGACUUAUCAGAGGACACACAGCUAGGAUGUGGCAGAGCUGGGGUUUAGAUCAGCAGCUUCUGACUCCCAGGCCAGUGCUCCUUCAGUAACAAUUAUUAUUUAUAAUUAGCAUAUAGUUAGAACAAGCGUAUCGUAAUGCUUACUAAUACUGAAGCAUUUGGUCAUCGCAGUAUCCUGAGGUGGGCGGGUACUACUGUCUCUUGAAGGAGGUGUCUGCCCCUCUGGGAGGCUGGGUUAUCAUCCCUUAGGCUCCCCGAUGCUAAGUUGUACACCUGGCCAGCCUGGACCCCCGGCUUGCCCCCACUCAGCCUGCCAUGGGUCCCAGCUCUGGACAGGGCAGGUUCCAGCCCCAUUUUCAGAACAUGCAAGAGGUGUGGCCCAGAUCACACAGUUGGUGGGUGGCAGAGGUGUCCAGGAAGGAACACAGCCCUGCGUGGGGCUUACUCAUCUGGCCCUGCUCAGAGCUGGCAGUCCUAGAGGUCAGGAUCCCUCCUACGGAUGCCUCGGUCUCCAGAAGGCUGUCCCUGCCCUUCCCUCUUUCCUUCAGAACUCGACUACAGGAGCCUGGCCUGAGGGCAACCUGGGCAGGCUGCCAGCGCCGGGAACUGACGGGCAAGCGCAUUGUCAGCUCCAGGGAGCAGUCAGCUGUUUAUGGGCCUGUCUGCAGAGCUGGAGGGCCAGCCUGCCUUGGACACGAUGGGAGCUGGGAGACGAGAACACCACUUUCCCGGAGCCCCGCGGCUCUGGGCCAGGCCCACGGGCUUCCUUUGGCAGAGAGGGCCUGAGCCUUGGCCACGCCUUCCUUUUCUGGGCCUUGGCUCCCUCCUUAGUCUGGCUCUCGCCCCGCUCCCCACCCAGCUCUUUGCAGCAGAGUGCACACUCUUGGCAACAACAUCCUUGUAACCUGUUUGCCAGAAAACAGGAUGGUUGGGCAGGCAGACUCAGCCAGCACCUUGGUGGGAAACAGGGUGGUAGGCCUCAGCUCAGGCUUUUCUUGCCCAUAUUCCUCGGGGAGCUGGGCUGGGAGGUUGCUCUAGGCUGCUAGUUAAGCUGAGUUAUUUCUGAUCCAGGUAAGCCAGGGCAGGGCUAUCGGGCUGAGGUGAGAGCUUUGAGCUCCUCGAGUUGGUGGUGGUGGGGAGACAAGUCUUUGCCCAGGAGUCUGAUCAAGGGCAGUCACUUAGCUGGGGGCCUUGGGUAAAGCCUCCCACCCCUCUGUGCCUGUUGCCCCAUUGUUUCAUGGGCAUAAUAGUAUGCUGUAGGCAUGUGUCUGCUUUCCAGGUUUAUUCUGACUAUAGAUAUGAAAUUGUCGCCCCCUCUGCCUCCCCUUCCAGGAGGACACGGAGGACUCUGGGUGGUGUCUGCUUGGAGAAGAUGCUCAGUUAAUGCUAGUGGCACCGCACUGCUCAGGAAGCGAGGCAGAGUCUGUGACAUUGCAGAAAAGCAACCUUGGACCUUGAAUGAGUGUGGGGCCCGUCCCUGAUGGCCUGGCCACUGUGGAGGUGUCUGGAGGGGACCACCUCCUUCCCCCCGCCGGCCCUGGUUUUAGAAGCAGGCAUGUGGCCCAGGCUGGACACUGACAUUCCCCUUUGGGACUUUUGCAGCAACUAUGGGGAAAGAGGCAUUCGCUUUUCCUGGGAGUUGCUAGAUUGAAAGGAUAUAAGCUUGGAACUGCUGGUGACCAUCCAGUUUUCCACUUGAGGACGAAGCCAACGAAGAGGAAAGAGAGCUAAAAGAUGGAGAGAAUAUGCUGUCCAGACAUCAGUAAGCCCCUGGAUCCAGCCAUGCCUGAAGCUAGCUGCAUCCCUGGACUAACCUGAUUAUGUGAGCCAAUGCAUUUCUUUUUUUCUAAAACUAUCCUGAGUUGGGUUUCUGCCAUACAAAGGGUCUUAAUAAAGGCAAUGUUUUUCUUUGGUUUCAUCUUAAAAAAUCAAGUUUGAGGUAUACUUUACAUGCAAUAAAAUCCAUUUUAAAGUGUCCAACUAAUAAAUUAUGUCAAAUGUAUACACCCUUGUAGCUAACACCACAGUUGAGAUGUAGAAUGUUUCAAGUUCUCUCAUUGCCCCUUAUGGUCAAUUCCCCCAACCUCAGAGCCUUUGGUCUAGAGAGUCAUUUUGCCUUUUCUAGAAUUUCAUAUAAUUAUUAUCACAUAGUGUGCACUCUUUUGUGUCUGUCUUCUUUUAUUCAGCAUGUUUUUGAGAUUCAUCCAUGUUAUGUGCAUUAGUAGUUCAUUCCUUUUUAUUGCUGAGUGGUGUUCCAUUAUAUGGAUGUGCCACAGUUUAUCCAUUUAUUAGAUGAUGGACAUUUGGGCUAUUUCCAGAUUUUGGCUA